UGCGUCGUCUGCAUUUACUAUUUUUCUGUCAUUUUAGUGUAUACAUUUAAAGUACCACGUACAUUUUUAAUGUUAAUCUUAUUUCACAAUUAUUCUCGAUUACGAUAUUUAAUUGAUUGAAGUAUUUCAGUGUUUGUUAUUAGAGAUUUUAAUAUACUAAGUUAUUGAGUUAGAAUCAUUUUAAUUUGGUGUAUUUUUGUGCAGAUAUCAAAUUCAGAUGUGAUGGGCCAGAGUUUGAGCAGUGAUCUUGAUUCAGUUGAUAAUCUACCAGAUGAGCUAUUCCGCCAAGCCAGACAUUUAUCAGAGGUUGCUACUCUAACAUACGAAGAAUUCCAAGAAUAUCUCAAGCAGUUAAAUGAAUUAUCCCAGAAGUGCAUGGACUCUGAAGGCAAGCAGUUGGUGUUUGCUGUGAAAGAAGGUUCUGAUGCCUCUGUUUUAUGGAAAGGCACGAUCCGAAUAGCUUGUGUUAAAAUUGAUCCAGCAACUAAGAAUGUUGAAACGUAUCGCCUUUUGAACCUCAAUCAGUUUUUAAAGGUGUACAAGUCAAUGAGCAGUCAGUGUGCAGCAGCACAAGAAGGUUCUACUGCUGACCCAUCUACCAGUGAUAUCAAACAACUGACAACCUCAGUGCUGCUGAGGCACGUGUCAGGCCAGACAUCUGACUCAGCUGCUGAGUGUUGCAUCUGUCUGGAGCGGAGACCAGACAUGCUGUUACCUUGCGCUCAUGCGUACUGCCGUCCUUGUAUCGAACAGUGGUCUGUGAACCACAAGACUUGUCCGAUAUGCCGUGAGGAGGCGAACAACGAUGAAGCAUGGGUGAUGAGUGAAGCUCCCAACUCGCUAGAGAUGAGUGAGGAAAUCUGUUCCACACUGAUGGAACUGGUGGAGAGACAGCCUAGUACAGAUGAUACGGAUGACAGCCAUUGAGUCUUAUGAUUUUUGGGUUCACAAAAGUUUAAUGCAAAUAAGUGGAAACUCGGCAAACACACAUGUUUUUGUGCUAUCAGUACCCACUACUUCAAACCAAAGCAUCAUUGCUAUUGUGUCAGCACGCCACAACUAUUUUGCAACAUCAUGAAUAAUUCGAGUAAUAUGAAGGAAAUCUUGAGUGGCAUCUUACUUCGUAAAUGAUUUUUAAUGGUUGAUUAAAUAAAUUUUGCUGAUUUAACUACCUGAAUCCCUGGUGAAAAUGUAACAUCUUCUCUAUGUAUCAUUAUCGUCAAGAAUUCAGAAAAUUAACAUCACACCCUCGUACCUAGUGAAGUAGUAUCAUUCAACCCUUCAAGUGCCAAUUGAAAGUGCCUGAUAUAAAGAGCCAUUUUCUAUCGUUUUUCAAAAGUAUUUUUUUUUUAUUUAAAAAAAUAUAUAUUUACUUAAAAUUUAGAUGUAUUAGAAAUAAUUGUUUCACAAGCACUUAUACAUAGCUAUGAUGUAUAAAACAUUAUAUAUUAUAAAUCAGUAUUUGCCUAGUUAAAUGUUUUGAAAAAUGUGUUUAAGAGAUGGUGUGUAUUUCUCAAAAAAUGAUAAUGUAAAAGGUUAAGAUUCAGAUAAAUUAUUGAAGAUUAAUUUGGAAGUACUUGUAUAUUACAUAAGUUAUGUACACUUAUAGUUUCAAAAUGUGCUCAUGAAAUAAGUAUGUUUCAACUACCAUCAAUCAUAUAUACGAUUUUUUACCCCGUACUAGUCUGACUGAUCUCUGAUAACAGCAAAAGAUUAGGACUACAUAUUUAAUAUGCCUAUAUGUAUUGAUAGUAGUUAAUUGAUAAGUGCUUUUUCAGCCUCAGACUAUAGAUGACGUUCACUUAGUUCAAUGAAAAUUUGCCAUGAAACAUAUAUGAUGUAUGUGGUAAUCAACCUACUAAUAAAAAUAUAUAUCUAAAAUAGCCAUAAUGUUUUAAAUUUUAUUUAGUUUUAGAAAAUUAAUAAUGCUAUAUUGUAUGGAAGAAAAAUUCAAUAAAACUGUAAAUUAAGACCAUGAAUCGUACAAAAAAUGGUAAAUUUAUACCAAUAGGAAACAUUGUUCAGUAAACUUUUUUUAAAUGUUUUAUAUUUACGUUAAAAAUAAGUUAUAUUUUCAUAACAAUUGUAUAAUCAAAAACAAAAAUAUUUGUAUAAUCAUUACCUGGUAUCCUUCAGGGAACAGCUUGGUUGUGCAAAGGUGUAAUAAUGUCCAGAAUAACAGAUUUCUAAAAUACACAAUUUCUUCUUCUAUAAGUUUUAAUUUCGUGAAUAUAUUUAUUCUUUUGUUUUUAUACGAAUAAAUGACAAUUUGGUUAUAACACUGAAAUUUGGGUACAAUCUGGAGUCCAUAAAGUGCAUAGUCAUUUUUAAAAGCUAAAUAUAAAUGAAAACAAUGUCCUCAUGAGAUACAAAAACAUAUCAUUUACUAAAUUUAUUAUGAUAUAUAUCUAUAUAUAUUAUUUAUAUAUAUAAUAUUAUUAUAUAUGUUAUAUAUAUAAUAUAUAUUGAAUCGAAAAAAGUACUUGCUCCGCCGGGAGUCGAACCCGGAUCUCUCACUUGCCGGGUGAAUGUGCUACCAUUACACCACAGAGCGCUUACUUUUUCCGAUUCAAUUAUUUUGUAUUUGGCCGUAUCUGUCACAUAUGCGUCAUAUGUCAUAUAUACAUACAGUGGUUAUACAUAAUUAUAGUCAUAUACAAGUGCAUAUUUCAUACUAGACCAAUGCCAGAAAUAAGGAAUGGUUAAUAAUACUAAAACUACUGUAUUUAUAUAGUUUAAAUGCACAAAUAUCAUAUAUUUUAUUAUUAGACUAUUUUAAUUUCAUAAAUUGAAAUAAUGAUGAAUCAGCAACAUUGUGCAGUGAUAUAUUAAUCGCUACAGUCAAACUUAUUCACAAUGUGUGCCAUUUUAAAAUUAAGUUUAAUAAUAGUAAUAAUGUUAUGGUCCUCAUAAAAAUGGGUACGGAUCUAACAUUUGACGACAUUUGAGAAACAAUCAGAGAUCAUUGCCACUUUGAUAGUGAGUCUUCAUAACCACAGAUGAUCUUACUUUUACUCUUACAGUAGAUUCUCUAAAAUUAUGGAGUUGUCACCUGUUAACGAAAAUGGGAUUCUAUGAUGGGAACAGCUUUCCAACAUUCUCACUAAUGCUGCUUAAAAUUCUACUUCUCAUACUAUCUUACAUCUAACUAUACGAUAUACCUAAGUUUAAUAUACCAACAUAAUGUUUAACACUCUGGUUACAAGAAAAAAUUUGUCUUUGUGUCUGAGGAAUACCAGAGACUUUUACCCAGUGAUUACCGAAUAAUAAUGGGCUCUUUUUAGUCUGUUUUGCACUAUUUUACAUUUUUGCCUGUAACAGCCUUAUUUUUUUGGUAAAAAUUAACGAUUCUUUUUUAUACAACAAAUGUAAAAUUAAAAGUAAUAAUUAGACAUGUACUUACCAAAGAUAAAAAAUAGAUUUACCUUUUUUUUUGUAAGAAGAACGUUCUUUACAACAAUUUCAGAUGCAAAAUGUUUUAUUGCAUUAGACACUGCUGAUAAAACUGUACACAAUCACCAUUUUUUAUUGGUUUUACAUUAUAAGUAUAAUAUUUAUGAUACUUUAAAAAUAUUGUGUAAGUUUUAUAUUUCAUACAUUUUUUAUGUAGACAAUUUGAAAUAUAUUCACAAUCACAAAUAUGUAUGCAUAUGAAGUAUAUAUAAUUAAUUUAAUUGAAAAGUAAAAAAAUACAAAAAUAAUAUUGGAAACAUGUUAAUAUCCAGACAUCAACUAGUAUUUUUCAGUAGUUACAGGCAAAUCUAUAUAACAGGACAUUAAAAUUUUUCAGUAUUUCUUCACAUAUCCGAAUAUCCAGCAUUAGUACACAAGGGGUUAAUACAAAAUUUGUUGAGUUUCAGUGAUGACUGUAAUAUUAAUUCUAUGAAAUAAAUUUGCUGUAUCUGUUGAGCCUGGCAAGGUUUGUUGUAUCCUUAGUUAUUAAAAAAUUAAUAACAUAUUAUUAUUAUAGUGCAUAUUGUAUUAAAAAUUUGUUAAAAUGUAAAUAUUUCAAUAAAUUUAUUUUUUAAUUAUGA
Homalodisca vitripennis (glassy-winged sharpshooter) is the source of this 4034-nucleotide RNA transcript. It is a transcript of the gene named RING finger protein 141-like, with no coding region annotated. The transcript has 7 exons. The record is from RefSeq and is a predicted model, not a curated record. NCBI's taxonomy places the organism in Eukaryota, Metazoa, Arthropoda, Insecta, Hemiptera, Cicadellidae.